GGCGGCGUGCUUAACACAUGCAAGUCGAACGAUGAACCACUUCGGUGGGGAUUAGUGGCGAACGGGUGAGUAACACGUGGGCAAUCUGCCCUUCACUCUGGGACAAGCCCUGGAAACGGGGUCUAAUACCGGAUACCACUCUCGCAGGCAUCUGUGAGGGUUGAAAGCUCCGGCGGUGAAGGAUGAGCCCGCGGCCUAUCAGCUUGUUGGUGAGGUAAUGGCUCACCAAGGCGACGACGGGUAGCCGGCCUGAGAGGGCGACCGGCCACACUGGGACUGAGACACGGCCCAGACUCCUACGGGAGGCAGCAGUGGGGAAUAUUGCACAAUGGGCGAAAGCCUGAUGCAGCGACGCCGCGUGAGGGAUGACGGCCUUCGGGUUGUAAACCUCUUUCAGCAGGGAAGAAGCGAAAGUGACGGUACCUGCAGAAGAAGCGCCGGCUAACUACGUGCCAGCAGCCGCGGUAAUACGUAGGGCGCAAGCGUUGUCCGGAAUUAUUGGGCGUAAAGAGCUCGUAGGCGGCUUGUCACGUCGGGUGUGAAAGCCCGGGGCUUAACCCCGGGUCUGCAUUCGAUACGGGCUAGCUAGAGUGUGGUAGGGGAGAUCGGAAUUCCUGGUGUAGCGGUGAAAUGCGCAGAUAUCAGGAGGAACACCGGUGGCGAAGGCGGAUCUCUGGGCCAUUACUGACGCUGAGGAGCGAAAGCGUGGGGAGCGAACAGGAUUAGAUACCCUGGUAGUCCACGCCGUAAACGGUGGGAACUAGGUGUUGGCGACAUUCCACGUCGUCGGUGCCGCAGCUAACGCAUUAAGUUCCCCGCCUGGGGAGUACGGCCGC
RNAcentral lists this ribosomal RNA (836 nucleotides) under Streptomyces sp. IM-7362. RNAcentral describes it as "bacterial SSU rRNA". It matches the Rfam family "Bacterial small subunit ribosomal RNA", at positions 38 to 889 of the family's 1533-position model. The record is from RNAcentral. Lineage: Bacteria; Bacillati; Actinomycetota; Actinomycetes; Kitasatosporales; Streptomycetaceae.